GAGGCUAUAGUAUAAAAUUAAUACUUCUUGCUUACACCAAGGAAAUCUCCAGCCUGUGGAGUAGCUUCU
RNAcentral lists this transfer RNA (69 nucleotides) under Lottia goshimai. RNAcentral describes it as "tRNA-Val". The record is from RNAcentral. Lineage: Eukaryota; Metazoa; Mollusca; Gastropoda; Lottiidae.